UUUUGUUUUGUUUUGCUUAGUAUCUAUUUUAGAUAAUGAUAUAUUACAAGUUAUAAAACUGAUAUAUUACAGGUUUUCUACUGACCAAUAUGAGAAAGUACCAUUCUUUAUUUUUGGAGACUGUAAUUUUUGCCUAGAUACCAAAGAUGCAAUACAGAUUGAAUUUGAAGGUGAAACCACUGAUGGAAACUUUGCUCUUGAUGACGUCACCUUUUACGAUGGGAACUGUCAAACUCAUCCUGUAGAAGCAGCAGUGGAGCCCCCUCCAUCUGAGAAAUUCCAAGUGGUUUAAGAAACUGCUAAAAAAUGAAGAAAAAGGCCGCUUUUAAAAUACAGAAUAUUUCUAAUUAAAGCAAACAAAAAAAAUAUA
Molecule: long non-coding RNA, 370 nt
Organism: Stegodyphus dumicola
Lineage: Eukaryota; Metazoa; Arthropoda; Arachnida; Araneae; Eresidae
Source: RefSeq, a predicted model, not a curated record